GCUCUCUCCCCCCUCUUCACGCGAUGCACUCCCGGCCCUCUCAUCUCCUCCUCUGUCCCCCGCUCAGCCACCUCCACCACCCCCCACCCUUCUCUCCAUCGCCGGAUCUGCUGCAGAUCAUCAAGGUUCCACGACGCGCGCGUGCUCAUCAAGGAAGCGUCUCGUGGAUCUGCGCUCGUGCGGCCACGACGGAAGGGGCUCGAGGUGGCCGCCUGCCGCCGCCGAAGACCAAGCCCCCACCUUGUCCAGAAUUGCAUCCUACGCCGUGUUCCAGUGAGGAAGGAGGAGCGGCACAGAUAGGGUCCUCACCCAGCCAUGCGGUCGACCACUACGACGCAGCCGUGCGGUGGGCAGGUGCGGUGUUGCGGCAGCGAGGUGGGGGCGGCGGCGUUCGCUCGUGCAGAUCAUAGCUGGGGUGGCCCCGAUCUGGACUCGACAGUCCUCUUUGACUGCAGCCGGAGCUAGAUGGGGCAUGGCGCUGGUCUUGGCCGAGAUCCGCCGCUGCCCAUCGUCUUCACCGUCCGUCAGUCCUUUGCUCCCCUGAUCCCGCUACCCUCCAUGGCGUCGUCUCCUGCGAAGGUCGCCAUUCAUCCUCGAAGAUCGCCGGCCUCCCUUGCGCGGGAUCGCCGGACAUCAUCGCUGCUGUCGUGCUAGGUCUGAUCCUAUUGCCUUGGUAGUUGGAGCGGCAUCGUGGCAUUGCUUGUGGUGGUGGUGGUCGGCGAGCACCUGGAGCCGCUGUACUUGCUAGAACCAUUUAACAGGAGCAGCAACAUGCAAUGGGAACACAACCUCGAUUUCGAGGUGGUUCUGUGCAUGUGCUCUAAUAAGUCGAUGUGCUCUGCGAACUUGCCCACUGUCUCCAGGACAACUAAGGCAUGCGCCCCCGACUGAGAGCCGCCCCUCCUUAUCCCUCUACUCUCACCGCCGCAGUGCCCAGCCGCACCCACUAUGUUCUACAAUAUUGCGUUGUAUUGCCGGCUGAUGCAUCCAUGUGCUAAUCUGCCGGCAGAAUUGAGGGAGGGCGGCCAGCUGCCUGGCGGGUGCACCGGCGAGCACAACGUGGAAGAGCCUAAAAGUCCGUCCGCUACCAGCUUAUUCGCGGAUUCUUUGAUCAUCGUGUUGCUCCGUGCAACGGCUAGCUGGUGUAGGCACUGUGCAUAAGUAGUAUUUCUCAUGUUUAUUGUAUCGAUCAACAGAUUGACUGUCAGGUCCUUCCCUACAGAAUCUUUAGAAAGAAAAAAAACUACAAGAGAAGUACAUAUGAAAAUACUGCAGACUGCAAUUAACAUCUCUUUUGCCAGUUUGGUAUAACUUUUGUGGUUGUUUUAUUAUCCAUUGAGACCCAUGUUUGAUCACCAUAGUUACAUAGAGGAGCAGACCAUUGAUAUGUACAGUAUCAUUACUAUUUUAACAGACAUGAGUUACAUUGUCAUCUUUUCAUGAAGAAAUGAUUA
Molecule: long non-coding RNA, 1454 nt
Organism: Triticum urartu
Lineage: Eukaryota; Viridiplantae; Streptophyta; Magnoliopsida; Poales; Poaceae
Source: RefSeq, a predicted model, not a curated record